This is a long non-coding RNA of Trachemys scripta elegans, 5230 nucleotides long. RefSeq lists it as uncharacterized. The record is from RefSeq and is a predicted model, not a curated record. NCBI's taxonomy places the organism in Eukaryota, Metazoa, Chordata, Testudines, Emydidae. The transcript has 2 exons.
GACCUAACAGGUUUUUUAGUAAUGUGGUUCCUUGACUUCAAUGGGAAAUUUGCCAGACAAAAGACAACAUGGUGUUGCCCAUUGUUUUUAUUUUGUAAAUGUCUGCGUGGGAACCUGUCAUGGCUGGUUGGUAGACCCCCAGUUUUAUCUACCUUGCUCUUACAGCCAUUUGCAGUCUGUACAACGCUUCACAUGUGAAACUAUUUUAAAAAAUGUUUUAACCUUCUUUCCUGGCAUAGCAACUUCUGCCAGUAGCUUAUGAAUAACCCAACAUAACAAACCAGUGUAUGUAUUUGUGGGAAGAGGAUCAAUUCAAUGAGAAAACAGAUUUCAGUGUCACACGUCCAAAUCUUUGAUAGCAACAUGGAGCAGGCAAGUCAUUUUAAGAAUGAUUAAAAAUGCUUUAACAUCGUUAACUUUUUUUAUGAUGAUGACGAGUGAACAGAGCUCAAAGUUGGUAUAACUCAGCAAAAAGCGGCGUGGAAAUCGGAGGCAUUUGAUCAAGCAGAACAGGGUCUGGUCUCAUCUUAACUGCUUCUGAUCUCCUGAUGGUAAAUCUGGGGCAGAAGGUGAGUGAGGGGUGACUUUCUCUACCAGACGGUUAAAUCCCACAAUGCAAGAAGCGGUGCCCUCUGGUUGCUUGUUAUUUUCUGACAGUUGGGACGCAUCGCUGGAGACAAGGAGAGACGAAACACUUGCGCGCGCGUAUGUGUGUGUGAAGUUGUGUCUUGUCUCCGUUUUUGUUUUGCUCUUUUCUGGUCAUGAGACCCGGAAGUUUUUUUUUUUUUUUAAUCACAUGGCAGAGAGAUAUAAUAAAAACAGAAAAAUGGCGACAGUCACGUUGUGGCGAGUCUAUGCUGCGUCAUUAGAUAAUCUUCAUGCAAAGAUCGCAAAGAACAAAGAGAAGAGGGGAAAGGAGCCCCGGCCGCAAAGCGAUUGUAAAUAUAGCCUGGAUCUUGUUUACAUGAAGCAUCCAGCGGGAGGAGCCUGGGAGGAGGAGGAGGAGGAGGAGGAAGAUGGAGGAGUCUCCACGGCUCGCUGGGGUGAGCUUCCCAAACGGAGGAGGAGCCAAGACAGGGCUGGAGUCUCCCUCAAGCAGCCUGGAAGCUGCCUGGUACGUGGGCUUGUCCCUUGCAGAUUCGCUCUCCCUGGCCCCGACCACCGCCAGGCAGAGCUUCACAUCAGCAGCCCUUGGGAGCUGGGUACCAAGCUAUGGCUGCAGGACAGCGGUGCUGUCUCCCCUCCCAGACAAGCGACAAAAACUUGUUUGAUGGUGCUUUUGUUCCCACAGUGGCGGGCACUGGCACUCGCUGGCUGAGAUCAGCAAGGGAGAAUGGCAGAGGGGCUUUUCCUCAUCUCUGUGCUCCUGCUCACGCCCCUCACCCCCUUUGGAGCCACACCUCCAGUUCCCUCUAGCUUUCACUUACAUAGCAGAGUAUUUUCUUAUUUAUUUCAAAGAGAGGGCCUCAACGCAAGUUCAGCUGGACAAAGGGGACAGGUACAGGGCCAGAUCCUAGAUCACCAACUUGUUUCCUGACCUAGUAAGUUAUUCUUUAACAAAGCGUAGGGACAUUUUCUUUCCAUUGGCUAAUAAGUGACAAAGGCCAAGUCCAUGGCCCUGGUUCCUGCCAUGCCAGCCUCUGUGAUUGUUAGCAGAUGUUUUCAGUGCAGCAUGAGCUGAAAACAAAGAGCAUCCCUGCCUCCCCCCAUCACUAUAUUGAGCUCCCCUUACAUGGGAGAUGUUGGUCCAUCUUGAGCUGUGUUCUAAUAAUGGGUGUAUGUGUGUGUGAGUGAGGGGGUUUCCAAGAAAGCGAAUGCUGGGGGAUCCAGUCAGGUUGCUGGUGUUAAAUUUGUUUGAAUAUUUUCAUGUAUUUUUCAGGAAGGGGCCUCUAGGAGCUCUUGUUUCCAGAAAAGUGACUGAAUACUUGCCCACAGACCGUAGCUGAUGAAUGAUUAAUCAUGUUUUAGAGAUUUAUUUAUUUAAUUAUUCAUACAUUUGGUACACCAACAGCAGCAGUUAGAAUUCAUCUAUCAGACCGUUAACUCAACCACUAAUCAAUGUUUAAGAGGGGAAGGGAGUCAAAAAGACUAAAAGGUAAGUGUUGGUGGAAGGAAUCAAGCAGAACGUAGAUAAAGAAUGGAGAAGAUUUUAUAAACAGUUCCCAUGACGGAAGUUUCCUUGAUGGGAGAGUUUCAUAUUGUUGAAUGUACCUGUCUCCUACCUCACUUACAAGUGAAGAAGCAAAUCUUUAAAAACUAAUAAAGAAGAAUUUAAAGCUAUAGAAAAUAUUGCUUUAAUAACUGUCCUAGCACACUAGAGUCUUUCACUUCUAGGUGCUGUAAACUGCACUGUAGGGAGGAGCUCCUGCCAUAUUAAAAUUCCAGUAACUUUCUUAAGGAGUAAAGUCACUUACCCAGUAGCCAAAAGAUCAAUUAUAUCCGUAUAACUGCAGUUUUCUGCUCUUAAGAUCACACACAAAGUAAAAUAUUUGUAAUGAAGGUGGAUUUUUUCCCCACUUUUCCUAGCUUUGGAUAAGACAGAUCUCUUCCUAGUCAGUGUCAGAGUUGGCCUAUAAAAAUCAGAGCUCUAAUUCCAAGCUACAUGCUAGGAGAAAAGAAAGAAAAGUUGUAUUUGUAGGGGGAGGGUAAAUAGCCAAUUUAGUUUUUAGACUCUAAUAAAAAGGAGUGUUGUGUAAUUCAAAACACUCAAGAAACGUGGUAAGUUACCAACUCCGAAAAAAGAGAGUAGUGGAAACGGGUGUGUGGGGUGGGAGACAUGGAAAACAAGCAAAAAUAAAAACAAUGUGAAUAGAAUUUUUUUCAAACGCAAAAUCUGACAGCAAAAAACAGAACAUGGAUUUGAAAAUUUUAAAAUCAAGUUAAAGUAUUUGCAAUGCCUUAGAAAUAAGCUGAACAAAAAUACACACCGAAAAAUGCACUUGAGUAAAUUUAUGUAUUCCACAUUGAGAUCAGAGGGACUACUCCUGUAUGUUUUCAGGAUUCAGACCUAUGUUACCUGACCAUUGAGGAAAGCUUUCUUUUUAUUCUAGAAAAGAAGGUGAGUGUUAAAAGGUGAGAAGGCAGAGUAAAUAGAUCCCCUUAUCAUCAGCAAAAUGUAAAUACAUCUAAAGUGUCCAGCCUUUGUGAUGCUAAUAGAAUGCUCUAAUGACCUUUAUAUUGUUCACAUUUUUGAAAGCCAGGAAACACUUAUUUUUUAUAUAAAUCCUUAAUAAAUGUGUGCUCCUAGGUUACCUUACAGUUACUAUUUUCAGAAAAUGGCAGUUUAGUCGAAGGAUGCUGAUAAAUUUGCAGUUGAUGGCAAAUAUAUAUCCUAAUAUUUUUGUACAUAUUUGCCCAUUCAUAUUUGCAUCCUGGAACAAUAUUGUAUAACAUAUUGACUGGUCCCUUGUUUAUGAAACAUAUGUUUGUAAUUUGUUUUAAAAAUGCACAAAUAUUUUUUCCAGGAAGCUGUGUUUCACAUUUGUCUCUUUAUUGCCCUCUUGUGUUUAAAAAUAUGUAAGAGACCAUUUUGGUAGUACUUGGGCCCAGCUGAAUGUUAAGCAUUUCUGAAUUUUAAAAGCAUUUUAUUUAACUUAAGGAAAUACAUUGUCAGUUUAGUUGGUUAUUUAUUAUGUUAUCCAUAAAGUUCUUGCUCUACCCUAUUAGAAAUAUUUAAGUACCACUUACACCAAUUAAGUCCAUCAAAUUCUUAAAUGGAACAUUAUGUGAAAUGUAAAAUCUAUUUAUCACUUCCUUUCCAUUGUGAAACCUUAUGAAACAUUUAUUUUAAUAUGCUGAUCAUUACAGAACUGAUUCACUAGAUUAGAUGCCUUUAUUCAAAGAGAAAAACUACCAUGACUUUUUCAGCAGUACUUCAAACAUAAACCAGAGAAAAUAUUUUGAUAAACGUCUUUCAUUGUUUGCAAUGUAAUUCUUGAUUUCAGCAGUUUUCAUUUAGACCUCAGUGUAGGGCCCAAAUCAACCAUCGCACAGCCUAAACAAACAAGCCCAUCAGACAGCAACUCUUCCUUCAAACUCCAGGAUCCUUUCCACAUCCAGUGCUUGUUACUAUUUUGGAUUUGAUCCUGCUCCCACUGAAAUCAAUGGCAAAACUUCAAUGGGAGUAGGAUUGGGCCUCAAAGGAUCCCAGUGCUGCAGACGCACCUGUUGGAACUUUAGCACAUCUGUAAGCGUUUGCAGAAUGGAGGCAUGAGAUGGUACUGUGAAUCCCACAAGACAGAAACCUUGUCUUUUUUGUGUGUCAAGGCCCUAGCACUUUCAGUGUGGAACAUACUACUUUGAAACUUAAAAGAUAUUAUAGCCACAUAAUUAGCUAAACUAUUAGAUAAUGGGUCCAGAUCCUCCACCAGUGUAAAUUUGUGCAGCUUCAUUGUCUUAAGUGGAACUAUGCCAAUUGUAACCAGUUGAGGAUCUUGCCUAUGUAGUUUAUGUAUGGGAACAGCAGUCUACUUCAAAUGCUGAUUGAAACUGAAAAAAAAAAAUAUAAUAAUAAUAAUAAUGAGAGGGGAAAAUACCCUCAUUCCAUCAGUGAUUAUCUCCACAGAAUGAGUACAUUAUUUCCCCCCUGUUAAAUACAGGAUCAUAGAUUUGGAUUUUUAAGACUGUUAUUGGUAAAAGAUUGUACGGCUCUGAAAAAUACUUUAAAGCCGCAUUGAAUUUAACUGCACUGAUACCAGUUAGCCAGGUAAUUUUCAAAAAGAGUGGAUAAAUUAAUUGAAGUUUCAGAACACUUUGUUCAUUUCCACAUGUAUUUAUUAAACAUGCAUUAAAUCCAUCAUCCGUGUCCUCGGAGAGCUGAACAUCAGUAUUUGAUGUGAUCUUUAUUUUUGAAACAUGCACAAGAGGAAACACUAUGUAAGCACACAAUAAAUCAAGCACUAUUCUCUAUAUGAUACUAACAGACAUAAUGACUGACAGGCUGCCCUGGCUCAGUUAUCACAGUGCUGAUGCUGUCUAUUCUAAAGGUACAGUACUGUGAUAACUGAAGGAUGGCAGCCAUCUUAGCUUCACAAGAACCCAACGAGCAGAAAUCAGAGAAGAUGUCCUUAUUUUCUGGAUACCGGACAUGCUUUGUUUAUGAAAGUGACCAGGUGCUCGAGCAGAAAGAUGCUUGUUGUAAGGGUACAUCUUAACUCACUUGAAGAAAAGAAUAAAUGGCUUAAAAAAAGACCUUUAGUUCUACUGGAAUAAAAAAAAAAAAAUCACUUUA